This 480-nucleotide ribosomal RNA is filed under the name uncultured bacterium. RNAcentral's name for it is "partial 16S ribosomal RNA". It matches the Rfam family "Bacterial small subunit ribosomal RNA", at positions 28 to 523 of the family's 1533-position model. The record is from RNAcentral.
GACGAACGCUGGCGGCGUGCUUAACACAUGCAAGUCGAACGAUGAAGUUCCUUCGGGAAUGGAUUAGUGGCGAACGGGUGUGAAACACGUGAGAAACCUGCCUUUCAUUUUGGGAUAACUCCGGGAAACCGGAGCUAACACCGAAUACUCCGUCUCGGCGGCAUCGCUGAGCCGGGAAAAAAUUUUGAUGAAAGAUGGUCUCGCGGCCUAUCAGCUAGUUGGUGAGGUAAUGGCUCACCAAGGCGACGACGGGUAGCCGGCCUGAGAGGGCGACCGGCCACACUGGGACUGAGACACGGCCCAGACUCCUACGGGAGGCAGCAGUGGGGAAUAUCGGGCAAUGGGCGCAAGCCUGACCCAGCGACGCCGCGUGAGGGAUGAAGGCCUUCGGGUUGUAAACCUCUUUCAGUAGGGAAGAAGCGAAAGUGACGGUACCUAAAGAAGAAGCACCGGCUAACUAUGCGCCAGCCGCCGCAGUAA